Long non-coding RNA from Hydractinia symbiolongicarpus, 787 nucleotides. RefSeq lists it as uncharacterized. Lineage: Eukaryota; Metazoa; Cnidaria; Hydrozoa; Anthoathecata; Hydractiniidae. The transcript has 3 exons. The record is from RefSeq and is a predicted model, not a curated record.
GAUGAUAUUUCUUUUUGGUAUCGGAUAUUGUGGUAUAUAUUGAGGGAUUGAAAUUGUGUGAUGCCAUAGUAUAUCACAAUGGUAGUCCGCCAGGCGUGAAUAAAAAGGAUUGUUUUGCUGAGCGAAAUCUUGCGUUUCGUGCUGUGCUACUUACUUGAUUCCGUGUAAACAAACUACUUAAGUAGUACAGCUUCGAAGUAGCACAAACUUAAACGAAUAGAACCUAAGAAAAAUUAAUUGUGAAGCUGUACUUAAAAGCCAGGUUUGUGACAUCAAACUGUCAUGGCGGCGACCAUAGAAAGGUUUGAGUGUGUGACACUGAUGCAAUGAUGACAGUGAUCUGGAAGAAUCUUUUAAUGAUGACAACUUUAUACAUUCUUGCAUUGCAUAGCUGUGAAAAACACUUUGUUGAUAAUGUUGAUAGCUAGCCAGAUCGAUUUCCAUGCUGGACUCAUCAUUUUGAACACUGCUAAUAAGCCUGAUCUCUGUGUAAUAUUUGAAGGAACACGUUCAAUUAGCAUUGGAUUUAUUGGCUACAAUGCCGCCAUCACAAAACAGUUCUCAACUAUGGGUAGACUUCAUGAAGUGUCAUCCCAUGGAUGGAAAAUACCGGAAUUGAUGGAUUGUCGAUGAAAUUUAAAAGAGUUGUUCUGAUUGAAUUAGAGCUGUUGAAAAGAUGUGAAGAAGAAGUCGGCAUACUCAAAAAAGAAAUGUCUAGCUACUUGCUAGACAUUUCUUUAUAUUAUGGAAUAAUUGAAAAAUGGUCAAUAGCUCCGACUUUUAUGCA